Molecule: long non-coding RNA, 431 nt
Filed under: Olea europaea (common olive)
Lineage: Eukaryota; Viridiplantae; Streptophyta; Magnoliopsida; Lamiales; Oleaceae
Description: long non-coding RNA (OEUR_LNC013367)
Source: RNAcentral
AAAUUUUCUACAUUCUUCUAAUGCUUCUGAAAUUGAAUAAAAUCCUUUGUAAAGAGGAUUUGGAAAAUUCUUAAUACAAUCUGAAACUUCUAACCAAGUAUGAUAAAUUCCUGGGAGUCUUCCAUUUAAAACAACAUAACAUUUAAAUUGUUUAUGAUCUUGACUAAAAAAUUCUGAAAGAGCAUUUAAACAUGCUAAAAAAUAUUUUUGGUCUUUUGGAUUCUUAUUAUAAGAAAUCCAUAAAUUAUCUAAAAUACAUUUUUCUGCCUUUGUUACUGAAAUAUGAGAAAGUGUCUUAAAACUAAUAUUACUAUUAGGAAAACAAAGUAGUUCUAUAUUACCGAAUCUUAACUUAUCAUGAGUCUGGAGUAUAUUUGUCUGAGAACUUGAACUGCCAACAAUUGGCAAUCCUGGUCUAGGACCUCUUGGUC